GCGCCUGUAGCUCAGAUGGAUAGAGUACUGCCCUCCGAAGGCAGGGGUCACAGGUUCGAAUCCUGUCAGGCGCGCCA
This 77-nucleotide transfer RNA is filed under the name Gammaproteobacteria bacterium. Its description in RNAcentral is "tRNA-Arg". It matches the Rfam family "tRNA". From Rfam's summary of the family: Transfer RNA (tRNA) molecules are approximately 80 nucleotides in length. Their secondary structure includes four short double-helical elements and three loops (D, anti-codon, and T loops). The record is from RNAcentral. Lineage: Bacteria; Pseudomonadati; Pseudomonadota; Gammaproteobacteria. RNAcentral also lists the same sequence under 2 other names.